AGCAAGGGUGGUCAAUUGACCCCUGCAACCUCUGAAAUCCUCCAUUAGAGCCGCCCAAAUUGACCCUCGCAAGGUGCUCGAUGAAAUGCCCCAAUGGGGCAAACUCUUGUGCAGCAGAGAGAGAAAGAGAGAUUGAUAUAUACAUAUAUAAAUAUAUAAUACAUGGAAACCAAGCCCAAUGCCUCAGCCAUUUGAGACUUGAGAGAGAGAGAGAGAGAGAAAGAGAGAGAGGGAAAAAAAUGGGGGAUUCAAGUGAUUCAGUGUCGGUGGAUAUGGAGAGGGUUUCUCUUGGUGGAAAGGAGCAUCUUGUAAAAACCUGUCUUGGCUAUGUGUCUGUCGCUGUGUUGGGAGAUCAGGACAAGCCAGCUCUUGUCACUUAUCCUGAUUUAGCCCUAAACCACAUUGACCCCUGGAAGAAAAUAUCCUGGAUCCACCACUG
Prunus dulcis (almond) is the source of this 439-nucleotide long non-coding RNA. RefSeq lists it as uncharacterized. The record is from RefSeq and is a predicted model, not a curated record. Lineage: Eukaryota; Viridiplantae; Streptophyta; Magnoliopsida; Rosales; Rosaceae. The transcript has 3 exons.